Molecule: non-coding RNA, 93 nt
Filed under: Bacillus sp. UNCCL13
Lineage: Bacteria; Bacillati; Bacillota; Bacilli; Caryophanales; Bacillaceae
Also listed under: 1 other name
Description: GEMM cis-regulatory element
Rfam family: c-di-GMP-I riboswitch aptamer
About the family: GEMM was predicted in a large-scale screen for bacterial structured RNA regulatory elements. Genes associated with GEMM are involved in a diverse array of functions, including chemotaxis regulation, signal transduction, secretion and chitin.
Source: RNAcentral
AAGUGAAAAAGGCAAACUAUGGGAAACCGUAGGACGCAAAGCCAAGGGCCUAAACCAAAAAUUUUAAGUUUUGGUAGGCAGCCGGUUGCCACA